UAUUUUUCAUAGCUUAAAAAUCAUUGACAUAGAAUAAUUCCAACUAAAGUACGUAUUAAAUCCCUGGAAAAUAAAUUUUGUCUUAACAAGGUAAGUUGUGAAAAGAUGUUUUGUCACAGGAAAAAGGAAAUCCUCCAUUUAAAACCCUCCAUGCUGAAAUAAAGGAGGAGUCCCAUCUUUCAGUCAUUCCACUUCAGGCUUUUGAUAUAACUAAUCUCUUUUCUUCUUCUUUCCUUUUUUGGCAAGCUUUCGGAAACAAAACAGGCAAAAUUUUGUGAUGAUAAAUAUCACAGUUGCCACGCAGGCCAGCAGGAAUGCUAUCACAUCCAAAGAGUGGUACUGGAUCCAGGUGAGGUUGUGAGCUGCGACUCGAAGGUGCUUGGCUCCUUUGUGGCGCAUGACAAACUCAAUCCAGAAGACUGCUCGAUCCAGGGGCUUCAUUGGUUGGUCAUGAUGAAUUCUUGAUAAUUUCAUGACAUUCUCUUUAUAGCUGAAGGAUAAAUAUAAAGAUAUCAACAUUAAAA
RNAcentral lists this long non-coding RNA (524 nucleotides) under Homo sapiens (human). RNAcentral describes it as "HSALNT0073274". Lineage: Eukaryota; Metazoa; Chordata; Mammalia; Primates; Hominidae. The record is from RNAcentral.